UGGGAACCUUCCCUAUGGUUCGGAAUAGCUCAGGGGAAAACUUGAGGUAAUACCGGAUAAGCCCUUACGGGGAAAGAUUUAUCGCCAUUGGAUGGGCCCGCGUCGGAUUAGCUAGUUGGUGAGGUAACGGCUCACCAAGGCGACGAUCCGUAGCCGGUCUGAGAGGAUGAUCAGCCACACUGGGACUGAGACACGGCCCAGACUCCUACGGGAGGCAG
Molecule: ribosomal RNA, 218 nt
Filed under: uncultured bacterium
Lineage: Bacteria
Description: partial 16S ribosomal RNA
Rfam family: Bacterial small subunit ribosomal RNA
Source: RNAcentral